Molecule: ribosomal RNA, 500 nt
Filed under: uncultured microorganism
Description: bacterial SSU rRNA
Rfam family: Archaeal small subunit ribosomal RNA
Source: RNAcentral
AGUGGGUGUAGCGUACCUACUAGCCUACGACGGGUACGGGUUGUGAGAGCAAGAGCCCGGAGAUGGAUUCUGAGACACGAAUCCAGGCCCUACGGGGUGCAGCAGGCGCGAAAACUUUACAAUGCUGGCAAUAGCGAUAAGGGAACCUCGAGUGCCAGGUUACAAAUCUGGCUGUCGAGAUGCCUAAAAAGCAUUUCAUAGCAAGGGCCGGGCAAGACCGGUGCCAGCCGCCGCGGUAACACCGGCGGCUCGAGUGGUAACCGUUAUUAUUGGGUCUAAAGGGUCUGUAGCCGGCCGGAUAAGUCUCUUGAGAAAUCUGGCAGCUUAACUGUCAGGCUUUCAGGAGAUACUGUCUGGCUCGAGGCCGGGAGAGGUGAGAGGUACUUCAGGGGUAGGGGUGAAAUCUUGUAAUCCUUGAAGGGCCACCAGUGGCGAAGGCGUCUCACCAGAACGGACCUGACGGCAAGGGACGAAAGCUAGGGGCACGAACCGGAUUAGAU